RNAcentral lists this ribosomal RNA (374 nucleotides) under uncultured Bacteroidales bacterium. RNAcentral describes it as "bacterial SSU rRNA". It matches the Rfam family "Bacterial small subunit ribosomal RNA", at positions 22 to 395 of the family's 1533-position model. Lineage: Bacteria; Pseudomonadati; Bacteroidota; Bacteroidia; Bacteroidales. The record is from RNAcentral.
GCUCAGGAUGAACGCUAGCUACAGGCUUAACACAUGCAAGUCGAGGGGUAGCAGGGUAGCAAUACCGCUGACGACCGGCGCACGGGUGAGUAACACGUAUCCAGCCUUCCCAUAACUCAGGGAUAGCCUUUCGAAAGAAAGAUUAAUACCUGAUAGUACUUAAGAAAGGCAUCUUUUUUAAGUUAAAGAUUUAUUGGUUAUGGAUGGGGAUGCGUUCCAUUAGAUAGUUGGUGAGGUAACGGCUCACCAAGUCUUCGAUGGAUAGGGGUUCUGAGAGGAAGGUCCCCCACAUUGGUACUGAGACACGGACCAAACUCCUACGGGAGGCAGCAGUGAGGAAUAUUGGUCAAUGGGCGAGAGCCUGAACCAGCCAA